Molecule: ribosomal RNA, 1986 nt
Filed under: Cosmioperla australis
Lineage: Eukaryota; Metazoa; Arthropoda; Insecta; Plecoptera; Eustheniidae
Description: SSU rRNA
Rfam family: Eukaryotic small subunit ribosomal RNA
Source: RNAcentral
AAGCCAUGCUAUGUCUAAGUGCAAGCCACAUUAAGGUGAAACCGCGAAUGGCUCAUUAAAUCAGUUAUGGUUCCUUAGAUAAUACACCAAGUUACUUGGAUAACUGUGGUAAUUCUAGAGCUAAUACAUGCAAAUAGAGUUCCAACUCGAGAGGGAAGGAACGCUUUUAUUAGAUCAAAACCAAUCGAGCCCGCGUCCCUUCGCGGGGGUGCGGUGCCUCGCAUUGAAUUUGGUGACUCUGAAUAACCACUGAGCAGAUCGCACGGUCUCGUACCGGCGACGCAUCUUUCAAAUGUCUGCCUUAUCAACUGUCGAUGGUAGGUUCUGCGCCUACCAUGGUUGUAACGGGUAACGGGGAAUCAGGGUUCGAUUCCGGAGAGGGAGCCUGAGAAACGGCUACCACAUCCAAGGAAGGCAGCAGGCGCGCAAAUUACCCACUCCCGGCACGGGGAGGUAGUGACGAAAAAUAACGAUACGGGACUCAUCCGAGGCCCCGUAAUCGGAAUGAGCACAACUUAAAUACUUUAACGAGUAUCCAUUGGAGGGCAAGUCUGGUGCCAGCAGCCGCGGUAAUUCCAGCUCCAAUAGCGUAUAUUAAAGUUGUUGCGGUUAAAAAGCUCGUAGUUGGACUUGUGUCCCACGCCGUCGGUUCGUCGCCCGUCGACGUAACCGCACGGUUAUUGCAAGUGGGACGUCCAGCCGGUGAGGCGCCGGAACCGCGGCGGGCGCGCGCGCGCCCACGCGCCGGCCGGUCGGGGGGACUCGCACUAACCUGCGUCGGACCUCCAGCCGGUCGCGUCGACGUGCAAGCGUCGCUGCGUUGCAUCGCCGCGGGGUGCCGGCCUCAUAUUACUCGUCUCGGUGCUCUUAAUCGAGUGUCUUGACGGGCCGGCUCGUUUACUUUGAACAAAUUAGAGUGCUCAAAGCAGGCUGAAAACGCUUGAAUAUUGUGUGCAUGGAAUAAUGGAAUAGGAUCUCGGUUCUAUUUUAUUGGUUUUCUGAACCAGAGAUAAUGAUUAAUAGAGACUGACGGGGGCAUUCGUAUUGCGACGUUAGAGGUGAAAUUCUUGGAUCGUCGCAAGACGAACAGAAGCGAAAGCAUUUGCCAAGAAUGUUUUCUUUAAUCAAGAACGAAAGUUAGAGGUUCGAAGGCGAUCAGAUACCGCCCUAGUUCUAACCAUAAACGAUGCCAACUAGCGAUCCGCCGGUGUUCCUCCGAUGACCCGGCGGGCAGCUUCCGGGAAACCAAAGUGUUUGGGUUCCGGGGGAAGUAUGGUUGCAAAGCUGAAACUUAAAGGAAUUGACGGAAGGGCACCACCAGGAGUGGAGCCUGCGGCUUAAUUUGACUCAACACGGGAAACCUCACCAGGCCCGGACACUGGAAGGAUUGACAGAUUGAUAGCUCUUUCUUGAUUCAGUGGGUGGUGGUGCAUGGCCGUUCUUAGUUGGUGGAGCGAUUUGUCUGGUUAAUUCCGAUAACGAACGAGACUCUGGCCUGCUAACUAGUCGCAAUCAACGACAUCCGCAUUCGUGCUGUCGGCGACAAAUACAAACUCUUCUUAGAGGGACAGGCGGCUUCUAGCCGCACGAGAUUGAGCAAUAACAGGUCUGUGAUGCCCUUAGAUGUUCUGGGCCGCACGCGCGCUACACUGAAGGAAUCAACGUGUGUUUUCCCUUGGCCGAGAGGUCCGGGUAACCCGCUGAACCUCCUUCGUGCUAGGGAUUGGGGCUUGCAAUUGUUCCCCAUGAACGAGGAAUUCCCAGUAAGCGCGAGUCAUAAGCUCGCGUUGAUUACGUCCCUGCCCUUUGUACACACCGCCCGUCGCUACUACCGAUUGAAUGAUUUAGUGAGGUCUUCGGACCGUCGCGCGGCACUGGUCUCCUCGAUCGGUGUCGAUGUCCGACGGAAAGAUGAUCAAACUUGAUUAUUUAGAGGAAGUAAAAGUCGUAACAAGGUUUCCGUAGGUGAACCUGCGGAAGGAUCAA